UACCAGCCCCGCGAGUGGUUGGGACGGUUAUUGGGCCUAAAGCGCCCGUAGCCGGCCCGGUAAGUCCUCCCUUAAAACCCGGGGCUCAACCCCGGGCCGGGGGGGAUACUGCCGGGCUAGAGGGCGGGAGAGGCCGGCGGUACUCCCGGGGUAGGGGCGAAAUCCGCUGAUCCCGGGAGGACCACCAGUGGCGAAGGCGGCCGGCUGGAACGUGCCUGACGGUGAGGGGCGAAAGCCGGGGGAGCGAACCGG
This 252-nucleotide ribosomal RNA is filed under the name uncultured archaeon. RNAcentral's name for it is "partial 16S ribosomal RNA". It matches the Rfam family "Archaeal small subunit ribosomal RNA", at positions 474 to 727 of the family's 1478-position model. The record is from RNAcentral.